AUUGAACGCUGGCGGCAGGCCUAAUACAUGCAAGUCGAACGGUAACAUAAGAGAAGCUUGCUUUUCUUGAUGACGAGUGGCGGACGGGUGAGUAAGAUUUGGGAAGCUACCUGAUAGAGGGGGACAACAGUUGGAAACGACUGCUAAUACCGCAUACAGCCUCAGGGUGAAAGAAGAAAUUCGCUAUCAGAUGUGCCCAAAUGGGAUUAGCUAGUAGGUGAGGUAAAGGCUCACCUAGGCGACGAUCUCUAGCUGGUCUGAGAGGAUGAUCAGCCACAUUGGGACUGAGACACGGCCCAGACUCCUACGGGAGGCAGCAGUAGGGAAUAUUGCACAAUGGAGGAAACUCUGAUGCAGCCAUGCCGCGUGUGUGAAGAAGGCCUUCGGGUUGUAAAGCACUUUCGGAGGGGAGGAAAAGAUGACGUUACCCUCAGAAGAAGCACCGGCUAACUCCGUG
RNAcentral lists this ribosomal RNA (457 nucleotides) under uncultured bacterium. RNAcentral's name for it is "bacterial SSU rRNA". It matches the Rfam family "Bacterial small subunit ribosomal RNA", at positions 30 to 507 of the family's 1533-position model. The record is from RNAcentral.